This 338-nucleotide unclassified non-coding RNA is filed under the name soil metagenome. Its description in RNAcentral is "partial contains 5.8S ribosomal RNA, internal transcribed spacer 2, and large subunit ribosomal RNA". The stretch from base 1 to 119 matches the Rfam family "5.8S ribosomal RNA", at positions 35 to 154 of the family's 154-position model. The record is from RNAcentral.
GAUGAAGACGCAGCGAAAUGCGAUAACUAAUGUGAAUUGCAGAAUUCAGUGAAUCAUCGAGUCUUUGAACGCACAUUGCGCCCCCUGGUAUUCCGGGGGGCAUGCCUGUCCGAGCGUCAUUGCUGCCCUCAAGCACGGCUUGUGUGUUGGGCUCCGUCCCCCCGGGGACGGGCCCGAAAGGCAGCGGCGGCACCGAGUCCGGUCCUCGAGCGUAUGGGGCUUUGUCACCCGCUCUGUAGGCCCGGCCGGCGCCAGCCGACAACCCAUCAUCCUUUUCAGGUUGACCUCGGAUCAGGUAGGGAUACCCGCUGAACUUAAGCAUAUCAAUAAGCGGAGGA